This 469-nucleotide ribosomal RNA is filed under the name uncultured bacterium. RNAcentral describes it as "bacterial SSU rRNA". It matches the Rfam family "Bacterial small subunit ribosomal RNA", at positions 28 to 507 of the family's 1533-position model. The record is from RNAcentral.
GAUGAACGCUAGCUACAGGCUUAACACAUGCAAGUCGGAGGGGCAGCACGGUGUAGCAAUACGACGGGUGGCGACCGGCGCACGGGUGCGUAACGCGUAUCCAACUUUCCCGUUACUCUCGGAUAGCCUUCCGAAAGGGAGAUUAAUACGAGAUGGUGUUGAAAUUCCGCAUGUUAUUUCAACUAAAGAUUUAUCGGUAACGGAUGGGGAUGCGUGACAUUAGAUAGUAGGCGGGGUAACGGCCCACCAUGGCGACGAUGUCUAGGGGUUCUGAGAGGAAGGUCCCCCACACUGGAACUGAGACACGGUCCAGACUCCUACGGGAGGCAGCAGGUGGGGAAUAUUGCACAAUGGGCGAAAGCCUGAUGCAGCAACGCCGCGUGAGCGAUGAAGGCCUUCGGGUCGUAAAGCUCUGUCCUCAAGGAAGAUAAUGACGGUACUUGAGGAGGAAGCCCCGGCUAACUACGUG